Araneus ventricosus is the source of this 81-nucleotide non-coding RNA. NCBI's taxonomy places the organism in Eukaryota, Metazoa, Arthropoda, Arachnida, Araneae, Araneidae. The record is from the annotation of a GenBank genome assembly.
GUAGUCUCGGGCAGUGGUCAAAGCUAUGGAAUCGAAAUCCAUUGGGGUUUCCCCUCGUAGGUUCGAAUCCUAAAGGCUGCA